UCCUGAAGGAACGUUGAAGACGACGACGUUGAUAGGCCGGGUGUGUAAGCGCAGCGAUGCGUUGAGCUAACCGGUACUAAUGAACCGUGAGGCUUAACCUUAC
This 103-nucleotide ribosomal RNA is filed under the name Salmonella enterica subsp. enterica serovar Agona str. 400095 11. RNAcentral's name for it is "partial 23S ribosomal RNA". It matches the Rfam family "Bacterial large subunit ribosomal RNA", at positions 2825 to 2925 of the family's 2925-position model. The record is from RNAcentral. RNAcentral also lists the same sequence under 3 other names. Lineage: Bacteria; Pseudomonadati; Pseudomonadota; Gammaproteobacteria; Enterobacterales; Enterobacteriaceae.